This 328-nucleotide ribosomal RNA is filed under the name uncultured eukaryote. RNAcentral's name for it is "partial 18S ribosomal RNA". It matches the Rfam family "Eukaryotic small subunit ribosomal RNA", at positions 1470 to 1796 of the family's 1831-position model. The record is from RNAcentral.
CCCUUAGAUGUUCGGAGCUGCACGCGCGCUACACUGAAGGAAUCAGCGUGCUAAAACCAUUGUCGAAAGGCAUUGGUAAACCCAUUAAAAUCCUACGUGAUUGGGAUCGGGAAUUGCAAUUAUUUCCCUUGAACGAGGAAUUCCCAGUAAGUGUGGGUCAUAAGCUCGCGUUGAUUACGUCCCUGCCCUUUGUACACACCGCCCGUCGCUGCCCGGGACUGAGCCGUUUCGAGAAAAGCGGGGACUGCUGCUGUCGGGGCUUUCGGGCCUUGGCUUCGGUGGAAACCGCUUUAAUCGCAGUGGCUUGAACCGGGCAAAAGUCGUAACA